Molecule: ribosomal RNA, 467 nt
Filed under: uncultured bacterium
Lineage: Bacteria
Description: partial 16S ribosomal RNA
Rfam family: Bacterial small subunit ribosomal RNA
Source: RNAcentral
GACGAACGCUGGCGGCGUGCUUAACACAUGCAAGUCGAACGGAAAGGCCCUGCUUUUGUGGGGUGCUCGAGUGGCGAACGGGUGAGUAACACGUGAGUAACCUGCCCUUGACUUUGGGAUAACUUCAGGAAACUGGGGCUAAUACCGGAUAGGAGCUCCUGCUGCAUGGUGGGGGUUGGAAAGUUUCGGCGGUUGGGGAUGGACUCGCGGCUUAUCAGCUUGUUGGUGGGGUAGUGGCUUACCAAGGCUUUGACGGGUAGCCGGCCUGAGAGGGUGACCGGCCACAUUGGGACUGAGAUACGGCCCAGACUCCUACGGGAGGCAGCAGUGGGGAAUAUUGCACAAUGGGCGGAAGCCGGAUGCAGCAACGCCGAGUGCGGGAGGACGGCCUUCGGGUUGUAAACCGCUUUCGCCUGUGACGAAGCGUGAGUGACGGGAAUGGGGAAAGAAGCACAGGAGAACUACGU